Molecule: transfer RNA, 87 nt
Filed under: Mollicutes bacterium PWAP
Lineage: Bacteria; Bacillati; Mycoplasmatota; Mollicutes
Description: tRNA-Leu
Rfam family: tRNA
About the family: Transfer RNA (tRNA) molecules are approximately 80 nucleotides in length.
Source: RNAcentral
GCCAGGAUGGCGAAAUUGGUAGACGCAGAAGACUCAAAAUCUUCCGGUGGUGACAUCUUGCGGGUUCGAGCCCCGUUCCUGGUACCA